This 547-nucleotide ribosomal RNA is filed under the name uncultured bacterium. RNAcentral's name for it is "bacterial SSU rRNA". It matches the Rfam family "Bacterial small subunit ribosomal RNA", at positions 355 to 896 of the family's 1533-position model. The record is from RNAcentral.
UAGGGAAUCUUCCGCAAUGGGCGAAAGCCUGACGGAGCAACGCCGCGUGAGUGAAGAAGGAUUUCGGUUCGUAAAGCUCUGUUGUUAGGGAAAAAUGAUUGUAAAGUACCAUAUACAGUAGAAACGGUAUCUAACCUAAAAGNCCGCGNAAAAUUGCGUGACGCGCGGGGUANNNNGUGGGUGACGUCGUGUCCCGUUAAUNUUGGACCCCGCNAACCGCGCGCAGGUGGUUUAAUAAGUCUGAUGUGAAAGCCCACGGCUCAACCGUGGAGGGUCAUUGGAAACUGUUAAACUUGAGUGCAGGAGAGAAAAGUGGAAUUCCUAGUGUAGCGGUGAAAUGCGUAGAGAUUAGGAGGAACACCAGUGGCGAAGGCGGCUUUUUGGCCUGUAACUGACACUGAGGCGCGAAAGCGUGGGGAGCAAACAGGAUUAGAUACCCUGGUAGUCCACGCCGUAAACGAUGAGUGCUAAGUGUUGGUCUCAUAAGAGAUCAGUGCUGCAGCUAACGCAUUAAGCACUCCGCCUGGGGAGUACGACCGCAAGGUUG